GAACGCUAGCGAUAGGCUUAACACAUGCAAGUCGAGGGCAGCAUGGUCUUAGCUUGCUAAGACUGAUGGCGACCGGCGCACGGGUGCGUAACGCGUAUGCAACUUGCCUCACAGAGGGGGAUAACCCGUCGAAAGACGGACUAAUACCGCGUACACUCUAUGUUGGGCAUCCAAUGUAGAGGAAAAAGAAAAUUCGCUGUGAGAUAGGCAUGCGUCCCAUUAGCUAGUUGGUGAGGUAACGGCUCACCAAGGCGACGAUGGGUAGGGGAACUGAGAGGUUGAACCCCCACACUGGUACUGAGACACGGACCAGACUCCUACGGGAGGCAGCAGUGAGGAAUAUUGGUCAAUGGGCGAGAGCCUGAACCAGCCAAGUCGCGUGAAGGAUGACUGUCUUAUGGAUUGUAAACUUCUUUUAUACGGGAAUAACAAGAGUCACGUGUGACUCCCUGCAUGUACCGUAUGAAUAAGCAUCGGCUAACUCCGUG
RNAcentral lists this ribosomal RNA (488 nucleotides) under uncultured bacterium. RNAcentral's name for it is "bacterial SSU rRNA". It matches the Rfam family "Bacterial small subunit ribosomal RNA", at positions 31 to 507 of the family's 1533-position model. The record is from RNAcentral.